GAAUUUAUAGGGGAUGGCCACGGCAGGGUUGGUUUUCAGAACUUGAGAUAAUAUAAUGGCUACCGUGGCCGCGUGCUGGAGCAAGCUUACGCGUUCUUCGAGCAUCAUCGUAUUGCUGGUGGCGGUGGCAUUGGCCAUGGCUCCAAUUGCCCAUCAAAGUGAUGACCUUACGACAAACAUGACAGAUCAAAGUCCUGCGGGGACUGGUGUCGGUGGUCAUCAUUCCCCUCAUGAUCCUCCUUGCACAUCAUGUCCAUAUCCUGGUGCAAGUCCAUGGUGCCAUGUUCGAUGAAUGCUUCAUUUGCUGAAUUUUGAGCCAGCUAGAGUCAAUGCAGAAUCAAACACAUCUUCCUAUAAAUAUAGCAAUAACUGUGGUUUUCCAUGAGAGAGCAAUGGUUGGUUCCAUAUUGGUCUUUAAGCUUUAACUGUGACAAAAAUAUAUAGCUUUCCAACACAAUGUGAAUCAUUAUUUGAUAAAACAAAUUUCACCAUUGUGAAACUCAUUCAAAUUCUAUUUCUUAUCUCAUAUAUUGUUUUCC
Panicum virgatum (switchgrass) is the source of this 539-nucleotide long non-coding RNA. RefSeq lists it as uncharacterized. Lineage: Eukaryota; Viridiplantae; Streptophyta; Magnoliopsida; Poales; Poaceae. The record is from RefSeq and is a predicted model, not a curated record. The transcript is spliced from 2 exons.